AGCUCUAAUAGCGUAUAUUAAAGUUGUUGCAGUUAAAAAGCUCGUAGUCGGAUGUCGGGCUCGGGGGGGCUGUCGGCCUAGGUCAGGCGGCCGUUCCGGGUCUUUCUGCCUGGGGAUCCUAUUCUUCUUAACUGAAGGGUAGUGGGACGCAGGUCGUUUACUUUGAAAAAAUUAGAGUGUUCAAAGCAGGCCUACGCUUGAAUACAUUAGCAUGGAAUAAUGGAAUAGGACUUUGGUCUUAUUUGUUGGUUUAUGGGACCGAAGUAAUGAUUAACAGGGACAGUUGGGGCCGUUUAUAUUUCGUUGUCAGAGGUGAAAUUCUUGGAUUUACGAAAGAUAAACUUCUGCGAAAGCAUUCGGCAAGGAUGUUUUCAUUG
RNAcentral lists this ribosomal RNA (377 nucleotides) under Rhodomonas sp. Its description in RNAcentral is "partial small subunit ribosomal RNA". It matches the Rfam family "Eukaryotic small subunit ribosomal RNA", at positions 587 to 975 of the family's 1831-position model. Lineage: Eukaryota; Cryptophyceae; Pyrenomonadales; Pyrenomonadaceae. The record is from RNAcentral.